AUCUUAAGAUCUUUUUUGGUGUCACGCUGUUGUGUGAGAUAUGCCUUCCUCUAAACCUUGUUAGGACUUAGGCACAUUAUCUGUCUAAUA
Molecule: small nucleolar RNA, 90 nt
Organism: Sciurus vulgaris (Eurasian red squirrel)
Lineage: Eukaryota; Metazoa; Chordata; Mammalia; Rodentia; Sciuridae
Source: Ensembl